UAGGGGAGCCGCAGGGAAACCGAGUCUUAACCGGGCGUUAAGUUGCAGGGUAUAGACCCGAAACCCGGUGAUCUAGCCAUGGGCAGGUUGAAGGUUGGGUAACACUAACUGGAGGACCGAACCGACUAAUGUUGAAAAAUUAGCGGAUGACCUGUGGCUGGGGGUGAAAGGCCAAUCAAACCGGGAGAUAGCUGGUUCUCCCCGAAAGCUAUUUAGGUAGCGCCUCGUGAAUUCAUCUCCGGGGGUAGAGCACUGUUUCGGCUAGGGGGCCAUCCCGGCUUACCAACCCGAUGCAAACUGCGAAUACCGGAGAAUGUUAUCACGGGAGACACACGGCGGGUGCUAACGUCCGUCGUGAAGAGGGAAACAACCCAGACCGCCAGCUAAGGUCCCAAAGUCAUGGUUAAGUGGGAAACGAUGUGGGAAGGCCCAGACAGCCAGGAUGUUGGCUUAGAAGCAGCCAUCAUUUAAAGAAAGCGUAAUAGCUCACUGGUCGAGUCGGCCUGCGCGGAAGAUGUAACGGGGCUAAACCAUGCACCGAAGCUGCGGCA
Molecule: ribosomal RNA, 551 nt
Filed under: Salmonella enterica subsp. enterica serovar Tennessee
Lineage: Bacteria; Pseudomonadati; Pseudomonadota; Gammaproteobacteria; Enterobacterales; Enterobacteriaceae
Description: bacterial LSU rRNA
Rfam family: Bacterial large subunit ribosomal RNA
Source: RNAcentral